UAGUGCAUUGUGUUGGAUUGUUC
This 23-nucleotide non-coding RNA is filed under the name Rattus norvegicus (Norway rat). The record is from RNAcentral. Lineage: Eukaryota; Metazoa; Chordata; Mammalia; Rodentia; Muridae.